CUGGUGGUAGUGUGACCCUUCUUCUGUACCAUAAACCUAAGAAACACUCACUUGACAAGGCUUUCGCGAGAGUUUCAGGCAUUUCGAGGGGUAGUUUUAUGGCCCUGGUGGUAGUGUGACCUUAUAUCUGUACCAUGAACUUAAAAAAACGCACAUUUGACAAGGCUUUCGCAGGGGUAGUUUUAUGACCCGAGUGGUAGUUUGACACUUCUUCUGUACCAUAAACCUAAGAAACACACACUUGACAAGGCUUUCGUAGGAAUUUCGGGCAUUUCCAGGGGUAGUUUUAUGAGUGUGGUGGUAGUGUGACCCUUCUUCUGUAUCAUGAGUCUAAGAAACGCUUAUUUGACAAGGCUUUCCCUAUGAAAACCCGGUUAAUCCUCUCUGUGACCUUAGGAAAUAGUGGUUCAAGAAGUUGCUGGGAUUUUCAUGGACAGUUUUAUGAUCCCAGAGAUAAUUUGACACGACUUCUGCACUUUGAACGGGAAAAUGACCCAUGAAAACCCAGUUAAUCCUCUCUGUGGCCGUGGGAAAUAGUCGUAUAAUGGGAUCCCGAGACGUUUAAGAAUAUGAAAAAGUAAAUCCGUUUUGGCGAAAUUCACAUACACAAAAAAAUAGUGAAAAAAACAAAAGCUGGCGGCGAUGCGAAAGCUAAUACGUAUCACUAUUAACCUCAUCAUCAUCAUCAUCAUCAUCAUUGUCAUUAUUAUUAAUGAAGAAAGACUUAGUUAUGUAGCUAAUACUUGUCGGUGUGAAGUAGGAAGGUAUUAUUGUCAUUAUUGUUAUUAUUAUUAUUGUUAUUAUUAUUAUGAGUGAGAGGAAGAUAUGAAGAGGUGAGGGAAUAAGAAAGGAAGGAAGGAAGGAAGGAAGGAAGGAAGGAAGGAAGGAAAAGAACGAGUAUUAUAUUAUUAUUUGGUAAGAUGGAAGGAAGGAAAGAAGAAAAGAAAUAAAGAAUGAAGGAAGAAAGGAAGGAAGAAAGAAACGAAAGAAAAAGGGAAGGAAGGAUGAAAGUAAAGAAAAAAUAAUAAAAAAGAUAGGAGAGAAAUGAAGAAAGAAAAAGAAAGAAAGGAAAAUCGUUCAGCUGAGUAUUCGCAUGAAUUAUUACAGAGAAAAACAAGAGAGGAAAAUAAAAGGAAAUGAAAGAAUGAGGAAAAAAAGAAAAUCAAAGGAAAGUAAAAGAAACAAACAGAAAAGAAGAAAAGAACGAACGAAAGAAAAACAUAGAAAAAAAGGAAGGAAAAAUAUAUAUAUAAAAAAUAGAAAAAUAAAAAUGAAAAUGAAAAAAAAGGAAAAAGAAGAAAACAAAACCAAAAAGGAUAAAAAAGCAGAAAAAGGAAAAAAUGAAGGAAAACAAGAAAAAAAAACAAAGAAAAGAGGAAAAAAACAUUAAAAGUGAGAGAAUAUAGGAGAAAAAUUGAUUGGGGGAAGGGGGCGGGACCUAUUCGCCUAGCUAUCGUGAACGGGGUAUGGAAGAAAAUUUGUUGUGAAAGCGAAAAAAUAAAUAAAGAAAAAGAAAAAAAAGGAAAUAAAACAAUGGAAGUGAAAGAAAUUAGAAGAAAAUAUGAUAGGAGGAAGGGGCGGGACCUAUUCGCCUAGCUAUCGUGAACCGGGUAUAGAAGAAAAAUUGUAGUGAAAGCGAAAAAAUAAAGAAAGAAAAAGAAAAAAGGAAAAAAACAAUAAAAGUGAAAGAAAUAGAAGAAAAAAUGAUUGGGGAAAGGGGGCGGGACCUAUUCGCCUAGUUAUCGUGAACGGGGGUAUGGAAGAAAAAUUGAAGAGAAAGAAAAGGAAAGAAAAAAAAAAGAAAAAAAAAGAAAGAAAAUUACAAAAUCGAGUAUUCUAAAUAAUAUUAUGGCACAAGCUUCACAUCUAACACAAUCAAAUUAAAUAAAAACACAAUAAAACAGACAAAACAAACAUCAACACAUAUUUCCCAAAGUCUUUUCUCGUCACUACGAACACAAUCUUGCAACGGAGGCGUAAGAUUAACAAUAAUAAUAUCCGACUAUACUCCGUUCACGAUAACUAGGCGAAUAAGCCCCGCCCCCUCCCCCAAUCAACGCAUCCCAUUGGCUAGCUCACGGAUAAGCCAUGCCUACCCCCGUCUUAGGCUGCGUGUGAUUGGUGGAUGCUGGGAAAGGGCUAAAUCUUAUUGGUGGAUUCUGGGAAAGGUUGAAUCUUAUUGGUGGAUGCUGGGAAGAGUUGAAUCUUAUUGGUGGAUGCUGGGGAAGGUUGAAUCUCACUGGUGGAUGCUGGGAAGGGUUGAAUCUUAUUGGUGGAUGCUGGGAAGGGUUGAAUCUUAUUGGUGGAUGCUGGGAAGGGUUGAAUCUUAUUGGUGGAUACUGGGAAAGGUUGAAUCUUAUUGGUGGAUGCUGGGAAGGGUUGAAUCUUAUUGGUGGAUGCUGGGAAGGGUUGACUCUUAUUGGUGGAUGCUGGGAAGGGUUAAAUCUCACUGAUGGAUGCUGGGAAAGGUUGAAUCUUAUUGGUGGAUGCUGGGGAAGGUUGAAUCUUAUUGGUGGAUGCUGGGAAGGGUUAAAUCUCACUAAUGGAUGCUGGAAAGGGUUGAAUCUCACUGGUGGAUGCUGAGAAGGGUUGACUCUUAUUGGUGGAUGCUGGGAAGGGUUGAAUCUCACUGGUGGAUGCUGGGAAGGGUUGAAUCUUAUUGAUGGAUGCUGGGAAAGAUGUCGUAUUAUUAUUAUAAAAGAGGACGAGUCCAUUACAGCCCCGGGGGAGUCCACUACGGUUGAUUCUGUGCUAGUGGGCGGGGCUUACUGGCGGAGAUAUCGUGAACAGGGUAUGAUAGGCUAGACUAAGAUAGGUUUACGAAAAUAAUAAUAAUAAUAAAAAGAAAGGCAACGACAUUCUCCAUAUUAGACUAUAAUCUUAAUUCUAUUUUUAAUCGUCUUGAGAAUGGUCCAGGUUAAUUGUCUCGAGGAGGUGAAGAAGAGGAGGAGGAGGAGGAGGAGGAGGAGGAAGGACUGACGGACUGACUGACUGAUUUCUUUUCUAUUAAGGCACUUUACUUAUAAUACUUACAAACAUACAUACAUACAUACAUACGUACGUAGGCCUACAUACAUACAUACAAACAUACAUAGACCUAUUUUUUCUGUUUUUUCUUGCUAAUAAACUGAUUUUUUUUUCCGUAUCUCAUUCUCGUAUAUACCAAUUCUCUCUCUCUCUCUCUCUCUCUCUCUCUCUCUCUCUCUCUCUCUCUCUCUCUCUCUCUC
Long non-coding RNA from Eriocheir sinensis (Chinese mitten crab), 3227 nucleotides. RefSeq lists it as uncharacterized. NCBI's taxonomy places the organism in Eukaryota, Metazoa, Arthropoda, Malacostraca, Decapoda, Varunidae. The record is from RefSeq and is a predicted model, not a curated record. The transcript has 2 exons.